This 328-nucleotide ribosomal RNA is filed under the name Staphylococcus aureus. RNAcentral describes it as "bacterial SSU rRNA". It matches the Rfam family "Bacterial small subunit ribosomal RNA", at positions 1207 to 1533 of the family's 1533-position model. Lineage: Bacteria; Bacillati; Bacillota; Bacilli; Caryophanales; Staphylococcaceae. The record is from RNAcentral.
AUUUGGGCUACACACGUGCUACAAUGGACAAUACAAAGGGCAGCGAAACCGUGAGGUCAAGCAAAUCCCAUAAAGUUGUUCUCAGUUCGGAUUGUAGUCUGCAACUCGACUACAUGAAGCUGGAAUCGCUAGUAAUCGUAGAUCAGCAUGCUACGGUGAAUACGUUCCCGGGUCUUGUACACACCGCCCGUCACACCACGAGAGUUUGUAACACCCGAAGCCGGUGGAGUAACCUUUUAGGAGCUAGCCGUCGAAGGUGGGACAAAUGAUUGGGGUGAAGUCGUAACAAGGUAGCCGUAUCGGAAGGUGCGGCUGGAUCACCUCCUUU